RNAcentral lists this long non-coding RNA (338 nucleotides) under Nicotiana benthamiana. Its description in RNAcentral is "long non-coding RNA (NBEN_LNC019856)". The record is from RNAcentral. Lineage: Eukaryota; Viridiplantae; Streptophyta; Magnoliopsida; Solanales; Solanaceae.
GGUAUAUGAGUAAAUAAAUAGCGCAAAUAUUGUUCAUAUUCAUGUUUGAAUUUAUAAAUAUCGGCCUUAACUGUUGCACGAGGCCAACCNNNNNNNNUAAUCAUAUUUGCUAAUUCUUCACGAUCUCUAUUUGGAUCGUAAUAUAAAAUACCUCCGGUGACAGUGUUAAUUCCUGGUUGAACUAGAUUUGAACCUAUGCUAGGGUUAACCGCAGAAUCUACACUUGUCCCCUCUUGCUGCGCUUGCAUUUGAAAAAAUCUAGCCCUAUCUGUUGGGUGUAUUUUUAUGUGCCUAACCAAACUACCUGUGCCGCUACGGUCUCCAGUAAAUUUAUGAAC